RNAcentral lists this ribosomal RNA (379 nucleotides) under uncultured bacterium. RNAcentral's name for it is "bacterial SSU rRNA". It matches the Rfam family "Bacterial small subunit ribosomal RNA", at positions 410 to 781 of the family's 1533-position model. The record is from RNAcentral.
GAAGGCCCGAGGGUUGUAAAGCACUUUCAAUUGUGAGGAAGGUAGUGUAGUUAAUACCUGCAUUGCUUGACGUUAACUUUAGAAGAAGCACCGGCUAACUCUGUGCCAGCAGCCGCGGUAAUACAGAGGGUGCAAGCGUUAUUCGGAAUUACUGGGCGUAAAGCGCGCGUAGGCGGACUAUUAAGUCAGUUGUGAAAGCCCUGGGCUCAACCUAGGAACUGCAUCUGAUACUGGUAGUCUAGAGUUUAGGAGAGGGAAGUGGAAUUCCAGGUGUAGCAGUGAAAUGCGUAGAUAUCUGGAGGAACAUCAGUGGCGAAGGCGACUUCCUGGCCUAAAACUGACGCUGAGGUGCGAAAGCAUGGGUAGCGAACGGGAUUAG